UAGGUGCCCUACUCCUACCCCCCCUGUUCUCACCUUCAUCUCUGCUGCCUCCGCUCCAGCUUGCUCUAUNNNNNNNNNNCCUGUUCUCACCUUCAUCUCUGCUGCCUCCGCUCCAGCUUGCUCUAUUACCUAUGCAAUCACAGCUCAGUAAUGGACUGGUGAACUAAAAUGGAUAGCUGCUGGGAGAAUUGCGACUGAUGAAUCGCGAUCAGCCGCUGAUUCCCCUGCCGUUGGAUUCGUGCCUCAAGACUCUGCCACUGGGACUCGGUCGGAAGAAUCUACUGCGGCCUUCUCUACCCACCUUUAUGAAAUUCUAACCCCAACCAGCCAUGACAAGGCUUAAUUUAUUAGAACCCGUUGUUGUUUAGAAAGAUGUGUUAUUCCUGUGAAAGUCUCGUUUUUGACUCAGUUUUUUUUUAGCAUUGUACACGGGCUUUGCUGCGACGAGGAUGCCUUUUUUAAUCAGGCCAACGUCAAGACCUGAAACAGAGCCCUACCACGUUAAGGGAGAGCACCCCAACUUGCUUGUUGACACGUGAGGGAAAAUAAGAGUCUGAGGUGGCAGGAUUUACCACUAUAACCCUAUGGUAGUGAUGGUUGGUCCCAGUACUCCUUCGAGUGCCUUUUGCGCUUAGCGUAGGAAAGAGGAGUUGCCUUGCCUUACCACACCAACCACCUUAGCGCUGGAAGUUCUAGCAAUGGGCAGCUAGGCAAAGGAUAAUUAGCUAUCUAAUGAAUAUUCAUUAGAUAAUAGAUUGUGGAUCUGUUCUUAGCUCGUGCAAUCAAUAAAAAGCGGUCCUUCGCCUUAGUAAGCUAGCUUUCUAAGCCCGGACGUGGAUCGAUCGUGACGAAAAAAUGGGACUAAUCCUCUGUACUGUAGUAAUAGAAGAGUCAGAGUCCCUUCUCGACCAGACGAAGGAGAUAGGAAUGGAAUUCUGCCUUGACCCUCCUGGAGGCGAAAAGUUCAUAAUUCAGUGUGGUGGGGGCCUAGUAGUAUUAUAAGGAUGUUGGUUUCGUAUAUAAGAAGACUACUGCUUAGAGGAGAGUGAUCUGUUCAUCUAACUCAAAAUAUUGUAAGAAGAAGAAGAAUCUUACGCCCCAAAUUCCCAUCUCUUUUUUCUUGGUUGGACCAACCGGCACCAGCCAUUUCCGUCUUCCUUAAUUGGNNNNNNNNNNNNNNNNNNNNNNNNNNNNNGGGGAGCAGAAAAUGAAGGAACCUUUGCUUUGAAAAUGAUUGUUCUAAAAUGGUUAUUCCUCACAAUUUCUCCUUGUGAUGCAGCGGAACCAUGGCAAUUAGGAUCUCAAGACGCAGCUACACCUAUAAUGC
Molecule: long non-coding RNA, 1327 nt
Filed under: Capsella grandiflora
Lineage: Eukaryota; Viridiplantae; Streptophyta; Magnoliopsida; Brassicales; Brassicaceae
Description: long non-coding RNA (CGRA_LNC001346)
Source: RNAcentral